UGUGUAGGCGGUUUUUUAAGUUUGGUGUGAAAUCUCCCGGCUCAACCGGGAGGGUGCGCCGAAAACUGGGAGACUAGAGUGCGGGAUGGGAGAGUAGAAUUCCUGGUGUAGCGGUGAAAUGCGUAGAUAUCAGGAGGAAUACCGGUGGUGUAGACGGCUCUCUGGACCGCCACUGACGCUGAGACACGAAAGCGUGGGUAGCAAACA
This 207-nucleotide ribosomal RNA is filed under the name uncultured bacterium. RNAcentral's name for it is "partial 16S ribosomal RNA". It matches the Rfam family "Bacterial small subunit ribosomal RNA", at positions 568 to 774 of the family's 1533-position model. The record is from RNAcentral.